CCUACGGGGGGCAGCAGUGGGGAAUAUUGCACAAUGGGGGAAACCCUGAUGCAGCGACGCCGCGUGAGUGAAGAAGUAAUUCGUUAUGUAAAGCUCUAUCAGCAGGGAAGAAAAUGACGGUACCUGAGUACGACGCCCCGGCUAACUACGUUCCAGCCGCCGCGGUAAUCCGUAGGGGGCAAGCGUUCUCCGGAUUUACUGGGUGUAAAGGGAGCGUAGACGGCAGUGCAAGUCUGGAGUGAAAGGCGGGGGCUCAACCCCCGGACUGCUCUGGAAACUGUACGGCUGGAGUGCAGGAGAGGUAAGUGGAAUUCCUAGUGUAGCGGUGAAAUGCGUAGAUAUUAGGAGGAACACCAGUGGCGAAGGCGGCUUACUGGACUGUAACUGACGUUGAGGCUCGAAAGCGUGGGGAGCAAACAGGAUUAGAUACCCGUGUAGUC
This 440-nucleotide ribosomal RNA is filed under the name uncultured bacterium. Its description in RNAcentral is "partial 16S ribosomal RNA". It matches the Rfam family "Bacterial small subunit ribosomal RNA", at positions 338 to 795 of the family's 1533-position model. The record is from RNAcentral.